CCCCCAACACCUUAGACAUUGUGCUCACACAAGCUUAUCCCAAGCAGGUUAAAAUUCAUUACAAGGGAAAUAGAUGUUUACCCACUUGUUGAAAAUUUUAUUGAAAUGAGUCUAAUCUGUUUUUGGGCAUCGUCACUGAUUCUCAAAAGCUUAAGUUGGUUUCAGACUAAGUCACCCAGAAAAGCUGCCAGCAUGUUAUCUAGGACACAAGAAAAAUGUGGUACUUGUGGUAAAACGGCUUAUCCACUGGAGAAGACUUUCAUAGCAAGUAAAUUACAAUACAAAGAGGCCCCUACUGAUAUGCAUGAUGGACACAAUAGAAGGGGCUCAACCUAGUACAAACAAGAAGUAUGUCCAACACAGAGCAGUCCCUAGUGGAAGUAGCACUCAAGUAUUCUGACAGUGUUAUUUGUGAUGGAAUCUUUUCUUGUAAUAAGUAUUCUGAUACAGUAUUAUUUGUGAUGGAAUGCUUUCUUGUAAUGCUGAUGUGUAAUUUUUUUUGUGAUGGAAUGAGUUUACCAUUUUGAUUCAGUACUAUCUUUAGUGUAAUGUU
Molecule: long non-coding RNA, 553 nt
Organism: Juglans regia (Persian walnut)
Lineage: Eukaryota; Viridiplantae; Streptophyta; Magnoliopsida; Fagales; Juglandaceae
Exons: 3
Source: RefSeq, a predicted model, not a curated record